GAUGUCACCCCGCUCUUCCACCAAGGCACCUGCAAGUUUACGGACAUUUCUGUGAGGAACACUGACAUUCCUGCCUUGCAGGAAUUCACACACAGAACGAGACUUUAGUCCCUCUCUUAUCAUGCGCCUGUCCAGUUAAGUUGUAGAGAGUGUGGGUGCUGUGAGAAACUCAGCCUCCACAAACAGGCUGGUAUGUUGGGGUGGCCUGCUUUCAUAUAGUUUGGGUGCUGUGAGAAACUCAACCUCCACAAACAGGCUGGUGUAUUGGGGCAACCUGUUCUGUCCUCAGUAUUUCAGACCAAAGCAUGACCAUUUUAAAGAUAUGGAUCUACAAACAGUAUCACACUACCCGGCAAUACAUGGAUGUGUGCACUGCACUCAUUCAAAAGUACUCCUCGUUGAGAGACCAGACAGGGAAGGGAUAUCUCCCUCUCUCCAGCACUCGUCGCAGGUCUACUAACCACCGGCCCUGGAAACCAUUAUUACAGCACACUUGCUCCCCAUCAUUACGCACACCUGGACUUCAUCACCUUGAUUACCUUCCCUUUAUUUAGCCCUCAGUAGCCUCAGUCAUCAGGCAGUAUUGGUUUGUGUUCACGUUCAGUACGCGGCUCCUAUUUGGUUUAUUUGUCUUUUUAUCAAUAAAUACUCACCUUAUGCACCUGUGAGUGUCUUCGUUACAGCAAACAAUGCAAUUAUCACAACACAGGUUGUAAUAUGGCUUUUUUUUCUGGCUUGGCUUCCCCAGUGAUUUUACUCACGCACCGCUACUGCAGCAAACACAUUCCCCACAUGCUAGGAAUGUCUUUCCCCCAACGUUAUAAUGAAAAAUUACCCUUAGGACACACUCUUUUUACGCCAUUUUCCCCGGUGGGCGUUCACGGUGGUCAUAGAUUUCAGCGUGCGUUUGAAAAUCCAUAAAUGUAUAAUUAUUGUGCAAUUUAUAUCUAUAGGCUACAUUGAGGUUUUCCUUUCAUUAUUUUUGGCUAUCUGGCAUUAGUGUAUAAGCCUACAUUUUAGGGCCUAACUGUACACUCUAAAAAGAAAAGGUUCCUUGAGGAUCCUUUAGGAUAAUAUAAAGUUAAAAAAGGAACAUUUAAAGUGAAACUGCACCAUUUUUCAACUUCAUAUUCAUCAUCUCCAGCACCACCCCAACAUCAACAUACUCUAUGUGAAAAUGGUGUCUUUCUAUGUUUUGUACUAAAAAAGAUAGAGGAAGAUCCGUGUUUCCAAUUAUGUGCAUUGUGAUU
Molecule: long non-coding RNA, 1250 nt
Organism: Oncorhynchus kisutch (coho salmon)
Lineage: Eukaryota; Metazoa; Chordata; Actinopteri; Salmoniformes; Salmonidae
Exons: 5
Source: RefSeq, a predicted model, not a curated record